Long non-coding RNA from Triticum aestivum (bread wheat), 716 nucleotides. RefSeq lists it as uncharacterized. The record is from RefSeq and is a predicted model, not a curated record. The transcript is spliced from 3 exons. NCBI's taxonomy places the organism in Eukaryota, Viridiplantae, Streptophyta, Magnoliopsida, Poales, Poaceae.
CUCAUAAGCUGGCCGCCAUGUCUCCUGUUCCCCAUCCCUCUCCCAAUCGACACAAACCCCACAUGCUGACGGAUGCAACAUAACUCAGCCUCCUCAAGUGUUUGCAGCCGCCGUUGAGGGUCAAACGAAUGGCUAAGGCGGCGAUGGCAUGGCAAGAGCAGGACCCCCAGAUGAUCGAUCUGGAGGAUGGGUGGAAAUUGAAGCAAACGGGCAUCAAACAUCCUUGCGGGAGAGUUUACACUACAAAUCGGGAGCCUCGCCACGGCCGCCGAUAUCCAUCUUUGGGGCUAUCUCUGUCAGCAUAUUCAACUUAUGUACCGACAAGUUAACAUUCUUCUUUAUAAAUAAAGAUUCUGAAGCCUCUCCUAAACUGUUGAAGAAGAAAAAAUGUUCGAUGUACAUGUUUCUUAAUUUUGAAGAAUUGUCGUCGACCGCAAGUGUGUUGUUGGCCGUCUCAAGAUAUCACCACUGGAGCAGCAUCAGCUUUCUAUCUCACUGAUCACCUAUGACUUAAGAAUUCCAUUUUGGACAUGUAUUCCCGCUGUUUUUCUCAUUCAACUUAUAGUUCUCUUUUCUUUUAUGAUUACACUUCACCAGCCGUACAUGAUAGUUCAUACUAUCCAACCUCCUCCGAAUAAAUUUUGUGUAUAGGAAUGUGGAUCAUGGAACAAUGGAGAGAACUGAAAAAUAAUUAUUAUACUUAUACUUAGCCACCA